This 433-nucleotide ribosomal RNA is filed under the name uncultured bacterium. RNAcentral's name for it is "partial 16S ribosomal RNA". It matches the Rfam family "Bacterial small subunit ribosomal RNA", at positions 29 to 507 of the family's 1533-position model. The record is from RNAcentral.
AACGAACGCUGGCGGCAUGCCUAACACAUGCAAGUCGAACGAGACCUUCGGGUCUAGUGGCGCACGGGUGCGUAACGCGUGGGAACCUGCCCUUAGGUUCGGAAUAACUCCCCGAAAGGGGUGCUAAUACCGGAUAAUGUCUUCGGACCAAAGAUUUAUCGCCUUUGGAUGGGCCCGCGUUGGUUUAGCUAGUUGGUAGGGUAAAAGCCUACCAAGGCGACGAUCCAUAGCUGGUCUGAGAGGAUGAUCAGCCACACUGGGACUGAGACACGGCCCAGACUCCUACGGGAAGCAGCAGUGGGGAAUAUUGGACAAUGGGCGAAAGCCUGAUCCAGCAAUGCCGCGUGAGUGAUGAAGGCCUUAGGGUUGUAAAGCUCUUUUACCCGGGAUGAUAAUGACAGUACCGGGAGAAUAAGCUCCGGCUAACUCCGUG